This 104-nucleotide small nuclear RNA is filed under the name Triticum aestivum (bread wheat). Lineage: Eukaryota; Viridiplantae; Streptophyta; Magnoliopsida; Poales; Poaceae. The record is from RNAcentral.
AUCACCAUUCAGGGACAUUUGAUAAAAUUGGAACAAUACAAAGAAGAUUAGCAGGGCCUUGUGCAAGGAUGACAUGCACAAAUUGAGAAAUUGUUCAAAUUUUG